RNAcentral lists this ribosomal RNA (448 nucleotides) under uncultured bacterium. RNAcentral's name for it is "SSU rRNA". It matches the Rfam family "Bacterial small subunit ribosomal RNA", at positions 26 to 518 of the family's 1533-position model. The record is from RNAcentral.
AGAACGAACGCUGGCGGCAGGCCUCAAACAUGCAAGUCUAGGGGGUGUAGCAAUACAUCACCGGCGGACGGGUGCGUAACACGUGGGAAUAUACCUUUCGGUACGGAACAACUGCGGGAAACUGCAGCUAAUACCGUAUACGUCCUAGCGGAGAAAGAUUUAUCGCCGAAGGAUUAGCCCGCGUUCGAUUAGCUAGUUGGUGGGGUAAUGGCCCACCAAGGCGACGAUCGAUAGCUGUUCUGAGAGGAAGAUCAGCCACACUGGGACUGAGACACGGCCCAGACUCCUACGGGAGGCAGCAGUUGGGAAUCUUGGACAAUGGGGGAAACCCUGAUCCAGCCAUGCCGCGUGAGUGAUGAAGGCCUUCGGGUUGUAAAACUCUUUCGACGGGGACGAUAAUGACGGUACCCGUAGAAGAAGCUCCGGCUAACUUCGUGCCAGCAGCCGC